Molecule: ribosomal RNA, 253 nt
Filed under: uncultured bacterium
Lineage: Bacteria
Description: partial 16S ribosomal RNA
Rfam family: Bacterial small subunit ribosomal RNA
Source: RNAcentral
UACGGGGGGAGCAAGCGUUGUUCGGAUUUACUGGGCGUAAGGGGCGCGUAGGCGGCGUGACAAGUCACUUGUGAAAUCUCCGGGCUUAACUCGGAACGGUCAAGUGAUACUGUCGUGCUAGAGUACAGAAGGGGCAACUGGAAUUCUCGGUGUAGCGGUGAAAUGCGCAGAUAUCGGGAGGAACACCAGUAGCGAAGGCGGCUCGCUGGGCCACACCUGACGCUGAGACGCGAAAGCUAGGGGAGCGAACAGG